This is an RNA transcript of Sapajus apella (tufted capuchin), 2743 nucleotides long. It is a transcript of the gene named rhotekin, with no coding region annotated. The transcript is spliced from 12 exons. The record is from RefSeq and is a predicted model, not a curated record. NCBI's taxonomy places the organism in Eukaryota, Metazoa, Chordata, Mammalia, Primates, Cebidae.
GGCUGCUAGGUUUGGGCGGAUAGCCACAGAGAGGAGACGAAGAAGGAACAUUUGGGACUGUGGAAAGUUGAAAUGGUCUCUUUGCAGGCUGCCGGGGUUUAGACUGGUCAAGUUCCCAGGGCCCAGAUAGAGCCGGAACGUACCACGCGACGAUCCCUGAGCCACCGGGGGUUCCGCGCCAAGGAAGCCGGGCUUGCCAGGUGGGUACGGCUGGCAGGGCGGGGCUUCUCAGGGUCCGCCCCACGCCCAGGUGAGCGCUCGCGACCCGCGCGGGCAGAGAGAAUGCGCCCCCGCAGUGCUCGCGAGGUGCAGGGUGCUCCUGGCUCCGGGACCGUCGGGCCAGAUCGGCUUGGCGCGCUGGGACUGGCCGGACGGGCUGGGCUUUUGGCGGGGGUGGAAGAGGAGGUUGCCGCGCCCUGCCCGGCCCAGGUGUCGUCUCCGGGGGCGGGGUUUGGAGCCCUGCAGCGGGAGAUCCCCGGCGGGACUGGCUGGCGGGCGUCGAGAGACUGAAGCCGAGGAGAGCAGGCGAAGCCGGGCGGUGCAGAGAGGCGCAGGGCGCAGGCGAAGUCGCAAGGCCGCCAGCAUGUUCUCCCGUAACCACCGGAGCCGGGUCACGGUGGCCAGGGGCUCCGCCCUGGAGAUGGAGUUCAAACGCGGCCGCUUCCGACUCAGCCUCUUCAGCGACCCGCCGGAGGACACAGAGUUGCAGAGGAAGCUAGACCACGAGAUCCGGAUGAGAGAAGGGGCCUGUAAGCUGCUGGCAGCCUGCUCCCAGCGAGAGCAGGCUCUGGAGGCCACCAAGAGCCUGCUGGUGUGCAACAGCCGUAUCCUCAGCUACAUGGGCGAGCUGCAGCGGCGCAAGGAGGCGCAGGUGCUGGGAAAGACAGGACGGCGGCCUUCUGACAGUGGCCCGCCCGCUGACCGCUCCCCCUGCCGCGGCCGUGUCUGCAUCUCUGACCUCCGGAUUCCACUCAUGUGGAAGGACACAGAAUAUUUCAAGAACAAAGGUGACUUGCACCGCUGGGCUGUGUUCCUGCUGCUGCAGCUAGGAGAACACAUCCAGGACACAGAGAUGAUCCUGGUGGACAGGACCCUCACAGACAUCUCCUUUCAGAGCAAUGUCCUCUUCACUGAGGCGGGGCCAGACUUUGAACUGCGGUUAGAGCUGUAUGGGGCCUGUGUGGAAGAAGAGGGGGCCCUGACUGGCGCCCCCAAGAGGCUUGCCACCAAACUCAGCAGCUCCCUGGGCCGCUCCUCAGGGAGGCGUGUCCGGGCAUCGCUGGACAGUGCUGGGGGUUCAGGGAGCAGUCCAAUCUUGCUCCCCACCCCAGCUGUGGGUGGUCCUCGGUACCAUCUCUUGGCUCACACCACACUCACCCUGGCAGCAGUGCAAGAUGGAUUCCGCACACAUGACCUCACCCUUGCCAGUCAUGAGGAGAACCCUGCCUGGCUGCCCCUUUAUGGUAGCGUGUGUUGCCGCCUGGCAGCUCAGCCUCUCUGCAUGACUCAGCCCACUGCAAGUGGUACCCUCAGGGUGCAGCAAGCUGGGGAGAUGCAGAACUGGGCACGAGUGCAUGGAGUUCUGAAAGGCACAAACCUCUUCUGUUACCGGCGACCUGAGGAUGCCAACACUGGGGAAGAGCCACUGCUUACUAUUGCCAUCAACAAGGUGAUGGGUCCCUUGGUAGUGAGGCCACCAAGGGCAUGGGCCCAGGAGCCUCUCCUUCAGGCCCCAGGAGGGUGGGCACUUACCUCAGAGAUAGAAGCAGGCCUCCUGCUCCUGACAGCACCACAUCCAGCAUCACUGCGUGAGGAUCGUCCCAUUUACUUGCCAUCCUCAGUCCCUGCCAAGUCUCAGAGAGGGUUCUCCUGCCUGCCAGUUCAGGGUUUUUCAUCCUCUCUCCCUCAGAUUCCAAUUUGUAUUGAUUUUACCACUUCUCGUUUCCCUCCAAGUCCAAUUGCCCUUCUUUGCUCCCUAUCCCUUUCAUUGGCUUUCCUGCCUAUUUUUGGCAGUUCUGAGGGACCUCUGGCUGGAGCAUACUUGCAUACCUCUGUGUCUUCCCUGCCUUGCUCAAUUCCUUUUUCCGUGUCUCAAGCUGCUCCUCCUCCCCUGACUCAGGACUGGCUGUCUUAUCCCCAGCCCUUUUUUUGCCAUUCCUUCCUAGUCUGGUCAGUAGGAAGCAAAUGACAGGGCUCAGCAAAAGCCCCCAAGCUCAUCCUUCUAAGGCAGGAGUGAUCAAGGCUGCCUGAUGUCACUGCCGACUUCUGUGACCAAAGUAGACCUCUUCUUUCUCCUGCAGGAAACUCGAGUCCGGGCAGGGGAGCUGGACCAGGCUCCAGGACGGCCCUUCAGCCUAAGUAUCAGUAACCAAUAUGGGGAUGACGAGGUGACACAUACCCUUCAGACAGAAAGUCGGGAAGCCCUGCAGAGCUGGAUGGAGGCUCUGUGGCAGCUUUUCUUUGACAUGAGCCAGUGGAAGCAGUGCUGUGAUGAAAUCAUGAAAAUUGAAACUCCUGCUCCCCGGAAACCACCCCAAGCACUGGCCAAGCAGGGGUCCUUGUACCAUGAGAUGGCUAUUGAGCCGCUGGAUGACAUCGCAGCGGUGACAGACAUCCUGACCCAGCGGGAGGGCGCAAGGCUGGAGACGCCCCCACCCUGGCUGGCAAUGUUUACAGACCAGCCUGCCCUGCCUAACCCCUGCUCGGCUGCCUCAGUGGCCCCAGCCCCAGCCUGGACCCAACC